RNAcentral lists this ribosomal RNA (253 nucleotides) under uncultured bacterium. Its description in RNAcentral is "partial 16S ribosomal RNA". It matches the Rfam family "Bacterial small subunit ribosomal RNA", at positions 524 to 776 of the family's 1533-position model. The record is from RNAcentral.
UACAGAGGUCUCAAGCGUUGUUCGGAUUUAUUGGGCGUAAAGAGCGUGUAGGCGGCCAUGUAGGUCCGUUGUGAAAACUCGAGGCUCAACCUCGAGACGCCGAUGGAAACCAUGUGGCUAGAGUCCGGAAGAGGAGAGUGGAAUUCCUGGUGUAGCGGUGAAAUGCGCAGAUAUCAGGAAGAACACCCGUGGCUAAGGCGGCUCUCUAGUACGGUACUGACGCUGAGACGCGAAAGCGUGGGGAGCGAACAGG